UUUUUGACACUGGCAAAUUUACUGUGCACAGUUAUAGUGUAAAUACUGUAAAUACUACACACACUGUUAUAGUGUAAAUACUGUAAAUACUACACACACUGUUAUAGUGUAAAUACUACACACACUGUUAUACAGCAAAUACUACACACACUGUUAUAGUGUAAAUACUGUAAAUACUACACACACUGUUAUAGUGUAAAUACUGUAAAUACUACACACACUGUUAUAGUGUAAAUACUGUAAAUACUACACACACUGUUAUAGUGUAAAUACUACACACACUGUUAUAGUGUAAAUACUGUAAAUACUACACACACUGUUAUAGUGUAAAUACUACACACACUGUUAUAGUGUAAAUACUGUAAAUACUACACACACUGUUAUAGUGUAAAUACUACACACACUGUUAUAGUGUAAAUACUGUAAAUACUACACACACUGUUAUAGUGUAAAUACUGUAAAUACUACACACACUGUUAUAGUGUAAAUACUACACACACUGUUAUAGUGUAAAUACUGUAAAUACUACACACACUGUUAUAGUGUAAAUACUACACACACUGUUAUAGUGUAAAUACUACACACACUUUUCUACAUUAGACACAGACAUUUUGAAUUAUGUCACUUUAUUGCCUUUUUUAGACGCUGCCUUGAAAAUAGCCGCACAUGAACACAUUGAUCAAACCGGGUCGGGUGUGUGAUGGUAAACAUGCCAAUCAGGUGUAAACACUUUACAAAGGCAGCGGCUGAGUGUGAGAGGAAGAAGAUCCGGAGAUGAAGAGGUGGAGGGCAGCUGGAGGUGACCCCUCUAAGUAUUGAUCAGUGUCUCAGUCAUCAAUAACCUGAUAGAGAUCACACACACACAAACACACACACAGAUACACACACACACACACAGAUAAACACACACACACAGACAGUCUGAGGUAAUUAGACCCAGUUUAUCAUCAUUUUUAAUACUCACAUGUCUGACAUGUUAUCUAGAUGUUGUAUGUUGUUUAUAUUUGUUGUGUGUUUGUUGCGGUAUUAAUGAGGCACAUGUGAGUUGCGUGAUGAAAAUAAGUCGUCUUUGAAUAUCGCCGACGAGUUGGAGGACGACGGACAAGUUUACACUUCCUGUUGACAUUAUUGUCCCUAAACAAUAAGCUCUGACAGCAGAAACAGGAAGUAUGUCGUCUCAUCAUUCCUCCCUCCUUACCCACUUCCCUCCUCUCCUCUCCUCCCUUGUCCUCUUCUUCAUCCCUCCUCCCCUUCUCCUCUCUUUCCUCACCCCCUCUCCUCCCCUCCCCUGUCCUCUUCUUCAUCCCUCCUUCUCCUCUCCCCUUCUCCUCUCCUCCCCUGUCCUCUUCUUCAUCCCUCCUCCCCUUCUCCUCUCCUCCUCACCCCCUCUCCUCCUCUCCCCUUCUCCUCUCCUCCUCACCCCCUCUCCUCCUCUCCCCUUCUCCUCUCCUCCUCACCCCCUCUCCUCCUCUCCCCUUCUCCUCUCUCUCCAUCUUUACUCACAUGUUGAUGGAUCAGCUCCUUUUAAACGCUGAUGCCUAUUGUUCUUCUUUUGUGGAGUUAAUGACCUUCUCCCCCAGACUUGUCCGUCUAAUGUGUGUGUGUGUGUCUGUGUGUCUGUGUCUGUGUGUGUGUGUGUGUGUCUGUGUGUGUGUGUCUGUGUGUGUGUCUGUGUUUGUGUGUGUGUCUGUGUGUGUGUGUCUGUGUGUGUGGUCUCUCAGACGUCCAUCCUGUGUGUCAGGGCGGGACAGAGGCAGAGUGAAAAGAAAGAGCGAGUGAGUCAAGACGGAUUGAGAGAGAGGAGAGCCUGCUGACUUUGUGUGUGUGUGUGUGUGUGUGUGUGUGUGUCUGUGUGUCUGUGUGUGUGUGUGUGUGUGUGUCUGUGUGUGUGUGUGUGUGUGUGUGUGUGUGUGUGUGUGUGUGUGUGUGUGUCUGUGUGUGUCUGUGUGUGUGUGUCUGUGUGUGUGUGUGUGGGGGGGGUUUAAAGGGUCAGACUAAUUUGCAGCUCGUUGAAUAGAAACAAGCUUCCUCUGACAGGCAGGUUGGGGGGUCGUCACUGUGUGUGUCUGUGUGUGUAGAAAGCAGCACACACUCUUCAUCACACAGAUUUCCAGCUUUUCCCAGCUGAUAAAGAUGAAAUCAGAAAUCCAAAUAUAUAGUUUGUUGUCAAAGACCAUCUGACGUUUGACAUUUAUCACAAUUAAGUAGCGUGAGCAACGUUAGCUUCCUCAGUAGCAUCACUGUGGCCUCCACACACAAAAACUGCCUCGUUAAGACUAAUAGAUUCAUAAUUAAGGUAAAUUUAUUGUUUUUCUUAAUCAGAAACUAGUAACUAAUACCUAGUCAUUAAAUUACUAAAAGUGAUACAUGUAGAGAUGCUUAUCUAUAUAUACAUCUUUUGACCACUUAGGAGUUUAAGGAAAGUCAAACGUCAAAGUAAAAACACCACCAGGGUGCAACAACGAACUGAUGAAAUCGAUAAAAAGUGUUGGCAAUGAAUUUGGGGGCGUGGCCCUUUAGUCCCAGUGCAAUUUAAGCAGGUUGUAAGAGCAUGGAGGCCUCCGUCACCUGGCUGGAGCACGUUGUAAGGACGCCCCUCCGUCGGCUGCCUCGCAUGGUGCUGUACGGCCCAAGGACAACGCUCUGCUGGAGGGCAGAAGAAGCACCACAAAGACCAAAUGAAAGCAGACCUGGGGACUCGGAGGGCGUGGCUUCUGACCGAAACACCUGGCGGCAGAUGUGCCAAGAAAGGACCAAAGCACUGGAGCAGGACAGGACAGCGCACAAGUGCACAUUAUCCCUGGACAACUACCAGCAUCUCCUCCAUCUCACAGAUGUGUGGAUGUCUCUAUUCUACAUUCUAAAAACGCAACUUUAUCCGGAAGAAGUUCAUUUAAAUGGGUAUGAAGGUUACAUCUUGCCACAAAAGAGCCAAAAACAGACACAAAAGUAGAAAUGUAUGAAGUCAUAAGCGUUUUUUUGCUCAGUAUGAGAGGUCCGUAGUGGACCGGACCAACUGAACCGUACCCCUUACCUGGUGUGAUGGACUAGUCGACGGGUUAAGUCCUGACUUAACUGAGUUUGAACAACCUUGUUCUCCAGAGGUCGGUGCUUUUACCUUCUUACUUCCUGUCGGACGUCUAAACAACUCAAACUUCCAAACCUGAUUCAGGAGCCUUGUGGACUGAAACGGACGGCAGAGAUCUCACCGGACUCUGAGUCUUCACCAAUGACGUGUUGUGAUUGACGCAAGUAUUAAUGUUCCUGCUUUGUCAUUUGUCACUUCCACAGAACUCAACAUACCACAAAAUACGUCGUCAUUCAUGAUCAGGAAACAUUUAUUGCCAUAAUGUGUCGGACAUACUGUCAGGGGUGCGUGGGAGGCAGGACUCAAAUGCAGAGUUUAAACGAAAGAGGACUUUAAUAGUCAAAAACUCCAACAAAGUAACAGGCCAACAGGCAAAAACACACACAAGUACCGGGGGGGGGGGGGGGACAAGGCAGGAAGUGAAGUUACCCAGGGAGACAAGAAGCAGAAAACUACAAAAUAAGACAGGAAAUAAAACCACACCGUGACACAUACAAGGAAUUUGACUUGGCGGUUGGUGCGUAACAGCAGACAGUACGACAAUGGACAAGACAACAGUGCACGAGGAAUAAAAUAAAAUAUAAGGCUAUGGGUGAGUUUAAAAAUAAAGGAAUAAAAGUUAAAGUUAAAAAUAUUUAGAAAUUAAAAAUAAAGUGCACCGUGGGAGCAGAAAGUGACAUGUGCAGUGUGAAGGGGAGUGACCGGUGGAAUGUUAUAGUCAGUCAGUGGGGGACCGGCUCUGUUGAUGAGCCCGACUGCCGACGGGAAGAAACUGUUGGUGUGGUGGGAGGUCUUAGUCCUGAUGGACCUCAGCCUCCUGCCAGAUGGAAGGGGCACAAACAGGUUUUGUCCGGGGUGGGAGGGGUCGGCUACCAUCUUUUUAGCUGCUUCAGAGACCUGGAAGCGUACAAGUCCUGCAGGGACGGCAGGUUGCAGCCGAUCAGCCUCUCUGCAGAGCGGAGGACACGCUGCAGCCUGCCCUUGUCCUUGGCUGUGGCUGCAGCGUACCAGACGGUGAUGGAGGAGCAGAGGAUGGACUCCAUGAUGGCCGUGUAGAAGUGGACCAUCAUAGUCUUUGGCAGGUUGAAUUUCUUCAGCUGCCUCAGGAAGAACAACCUCUGCUGAGCCUUCUUGGUGAUGGAGCUGAUGUUCAGCUCCCACUUGAGGUCCUGGGUGAUGAUGGAGCCCAGGAAAGUGACGGGGGAGUCACACAGGGUGAUGGGGGAGGGUGGGGCUCUGUUCCGCCGGAAAUCCACAACCAGCUCCACUGUCUUUAGAGCGUUGAGCUCCAGGUUGUUCUGACUGCACCACGACACCAGAUGGUCAGACUCCACCUGUAGGCGGACUCGUCCCCACCAGAGAUCAGUCCAAUGAGGGUGGUGUCAUCCGCAAACUUCAGGAGCUUGACGCACUUGUGAGCCACUUGUGAGCCUUAAGCAGCUAUUUCUCAUGGUGGAGACCAAAAACGCCGCUAAAAGAAGAUAUUAAAUUAUCAACAUGGCGAGAACAUAUGAACUAACCUCAACUAUCAACCAGCACAAACCUUUACCUGCUGAAACCAGGGGUUAGAGAAGGUGUGCUGGGAAGCACAAGGUUGGUGGUUCGAGUCCAGGCUGCCUCAUGUUCCAUGUCGAAGUGUCCCUGAGCAAGACACCUGACCCCUAAUUGCUCCCCGGCUGAAAAAGCCGUGGGUUUAAAGUGUGAUGUAAGUCGCUUUGGAUAAAAGCGAUGUGAUGCGAUUUAACGGAAUCAGACCCCCCGUUUAUCUUGUCUGUGGGAUCGGCAGGAGGAGACUCCUUGUUCAGCUGAAACGCGACACCCGCAACCUCCCCCCCACACUUGUCUCCCCCCUUUGCCUCCCCCCUCGACUCCCUGUGUUCGCUUCCUUUAUCUGAAUCCACCAGCUACAUGAAUACCCAUGAACCGCCAGGAGCUCUGCCAACAGCUCCAUGCAAUGGGCCCUACACCUCCUCUUCACCCCCCCACUCUCGUUUCCUCCCCAUCUCCCCCUUGUGUGCCGCUCUCCCUUUGAAUCUUCCUCACGCUGCGCGGCCUGAAGUAUUUGGCCACUGGACAUGAGACCCUUCAGGUGUGUGUUCACGUUCUGACUCGUCUUCUUCUGGGUUUUUCUCUUUGUUGCCAUGUUGCCGUUUCUUUCUGCUGUGUUCCUGAAGGAAGCACUGGGGGCCGCAUCUGUAUUCAUUAGCACGUUUCUUUCAAGCUCAACAUAAUUAAAUACAUUUGUAUGUCAUCGUUAUGCAGAUGACAUACAAAUGUAUAUCUCCCUUUCUCAUACUGUUUUACUACAUUGUGUAGUUAGAUUAUAGUUACAUUCAAUUAGCUACAUUGUUAUGUUACUUGCGUUGUUAAAUUGUUACGUUAUUGUAUUACUUGACAUUGUUAUACUAGAAAUUUAAAAGUUAUUUGAGAAAACUAAAUGUUCUGUUCAGAAACAUUGAAUAAAGUUUACACAACGAGCCCUUGAAACAUGAAAGUAUAUUAAGUUGUGAAGGACAAUUUCCAGUAAAUAUAAAAACUAAAUAUAUAAAUAUAAUAAAUAUAUUGCGACCCUGUGUGCAGGAUGAGCGGUUUGCAGAUGGAUGGUAAAUAUAUCUGUAGAAUUACCCUUAACUUCACUGAGGUAAACACAGUUCCUCCAAUGAAAGAAGCUCAAGCUUCUGUCCACAUAUUUUUGGCCACACAAUGAGUGCGUGUCCCCCCGACUCUCCCCCCCCACUCCCCCCCCUUCCGCAAACCUCCCCUCCGCCACUAUUUAUUUCACUUGUCCUCCCCCUUCUGGUCGGAGAGAGAGAGAGCAAUUUCGGAGCCUCCCCAUUGGUUGACAGCGG
Molecule: long non-coding RNA, 5937 nt
Organism: Gasterosteus aculeatus aculeatus (three-spined stickleback)
Lineage: Eukaryota; Metazoa; Chordata; Actinopteri; Perciformes; Gasterosteidae
Source: Ensembl